Molecule: ribosomal RNA, 652 nt
Filed under: uncultured Terfezia
Lineage: Eukaryota; Fungi; Ascomycota; Pezizomycetes; Pezizales; Pezizaceae
Description: eukaryotic LSU rRNA
Rfam family: 5.8S ribosomal RNA (bases 256-409)
Source: RNAcentral
UCUUGGUCAUUUAGAGGAAGUAAAAGUCGUAACAAGGUUUCCGUAGGUGAACCUGCGGAAGGAUCAUUAUUGAAGAAAACUUUUCAAGGUUUUUCAAUAUUCCCUGUUUAUAUUAAAUACGUUCCUUCCACCGGACAGGUCUUUAGGACCCUCUAGCUUGGGCAAAUGCCUUUGCUGGGGAGCUGCCGGUGGCGUUUCUGAAAACAAAAACUUUUGUUAUUAUGAAAUGUCUGAAUAUACCUUUAAACUAAAUAAAACUUUCAACAACGGAUCUCUAGGCUCUUGCAUCGAUGAAGAACGCAGUGAAAUGCGAUAAGUAAUGUGAAUUGCAGAAUCUCGUGAAUCAUCGAAUCUUUGAACACACAUUGCGCCCUAUGGUAUUCCGUAGGGCAUGCCUGUCUGAGCGUCAACUUCCACCCUCUCAAGUCUUCUUUUUUGGAGAUUUGGAUUACUUGGAGGAAGUGAACACUUUUUAUAGUGCCGCUCCUCUAAAAUUCAUAGGCAGUAUGGUCAAACCUGAACCAGGCGUAAUAAUUCUAUAAAAAUCGUCUAUGAAGGAAUGUCUGUAUUAGCCUUUAACCCCCAAUUUAUUUUACUUGGGUGACCUCAGAUCAGGUAGGGAUACCCGCUGAACUUAAGCAUAUCAAUAAGC